Molecule: ribosomal RNA, 200 nt
Filed under: uncultured bacterium
Lineage: Bacteria
Description: partial 16S ribosomal RNA
Rfam family: Bacterial small subunit ribosomal RNA
Source: RNAcentral
AAUCAACGCUGGCGGCGUGCCUAACACAUGCAAGUCGAACGCGAAAGGGACUUCGGUCCUGAGUAGAGUGGCGAACGGGUGAGUAACGCGUGGGUGACCUACCCUCGAGUGGGGGAUAACGUUCCGAAAGGGACGCUAAUACCGCAUGACAUUCCGGGUUCGAAGACCUGGAAAUCAAAGCCGGGGACCGCAAGGCCUGG